Molecule: unclassified non-coding RNA, 243 nt
Filed under: Rhizophagus sp. (in: glomeromycetes)
Lineage: Eukaryota; Fungi; Glomeromycota; Glomeromycetes; Glomerales; Glomeraceae
Description: partial contains 5.8S ribosomal RNA and internal transcribed spacer 2
Rfam family: 5.8S ribosomal RNA (bases 1-65)
Source: RNAcentral
GUGAAUCAUCAAAUUUUUGAACGCAAAUUGCACUCUCUUCGGUGAGUAUGCGUGUUUGAGGGUCAGUAUUAAUAAAAAUAGGUGUGUGGCUUCUUUGUGACUCUCCGGGGUUUGGGUCAUCUUAAUAUCCUUUAGGUUUUAAGAGGCUUAAAAUUGACUUUUUUUGCUCAUUUUAGAUGUACAUAAAUUCUUUUUUUAUUCGUCUGUCUUAAUGCUCAAAAUCCUAUUAGUUGCGACGGUAUG